GACGAACGCUGGCGGCGUGCUUAACACAUGCAAGUCGAACGGAAAGGCCCCUUUGGGGGUACUCGAGUGGCGAACGGGUGUGUAACACGUGAGUAACCUGCCCUUGACUUCGGGAUAACUUCAGGAAACUGGGGCUAAUACCGGAUAGGAAUCCUUGCUGCAUGGUGGGGGUUGGAAAGCUUCGGCGGGUUUGGAUGGACUCGCGGCUUAUCAGCUUGUUGGUGGGGUAGUGGCUUACCAAGGCUUUGACGGGUAGCCGGCCUGGGGGGGCGACCGGCCACAUUGGGACUGAGAUACGGCCCAGACUCCUACGGGAGGCAGGAGGGGGGAAUAUUGCACAAUGGGCGGAAGCCUGAUGCAGCAACGCCGCGGGCGGGAUGACGGCCUUCGGGUUGGAAACCGCUUUCAGCAGGGGCGAAGCUUGUGGUGACGGUACCUGCAGAAGAAGCACCGGCUAACUACGUG
Molecule: ribosomal RNA, 465 nt
Filed under: uncultured bacterium
Lineage: Bacteria
Description: partial 16S ribosomal RNA
Rfam family: Bacterial small subunit ribosomal RNA
Source: RNAcentral